GGGGAGGUAAAUGAGCACGAGAAGGAGUGCCUGGGGGGGGGGCGGUGGGUGUCGGUCAUCUGCGGGGAUACGAGGAAUACCUAUACGAUACACUACGGGGAAGAGGGACUCGGCUUGCAUUAUUAGCCUUCCCAUAAAAAUUGGGGGGAAAGCCCAAAGGGAAAUUGUGGGCGGGGGUUACCCCCCGGGGAAACGGCCAACCCC
Molecule: ribosomal RNA, 204 nt
Filed under: Xanthomonas sp. TERI 1003
Lineage: Bacteria; Pseudomonadati; Pseudomonadota; Gammaproteobacteria; Lysobacterales; Lysobacteraceae
Description: partial 16S ribosomal RNA
Source: RNAcentral